Long non-coding RNA from Zeugodacus cucurbitae (melon fly), 1856 nucleotides. RefSeq lists it as uncharacterized. Lineage: Eukaryota; Metazoa; Arthropoda; Insecta; Diptera; Tephritidae. The record is from RefSeq and is a predicted model, not a curated record. The transcript has 2 exons.
UAUAUAUGGGUCCAAUUGUGUGCUAUUGUAGUAAUAACAAAUAAAAUGUUCCGUUACACUCGAGCUUAAGGGGGGGUAUGGGAUAAAAUUUUUUAAAAAAUCAUUUUUUUUUAUUUGUUAAAUCGAAUGUACAACUAUUGAAGAAUGUUGUCUCAAAAUUUCAGCUCAUUCGGAGAACGAUGGAAGUCAUCACCGGCCCAAGUGCUCACGAAUAUGUGAAAAGAUUUGACGAAUCCCAAAACUUUGAACGCGUUUUUCUCGAAACGCCUUUUCUGAAGUCGGUGUCCACGAUAACUCAAAAAAUGAUUCUACGAUCUUAUAUCCGGGACACCGCAAUGUGCGGAAUUCCGUUGAGUGCCUACUUCAAGUGGCUGCAACUUCGUUGAUUUUCGACAUUUUGUAAACUGAUUUUUUGUAAAACAUAUUUGAAAUGUCACUGAAUAAUAUGAUAAUAAAACUAUUCAAAAAUAUUUAGUAGUUUUCUCAAAAAAAAAUCUUCAAAAACGCUUUUUUUUUGGCCCGUUAGGACAAAUUAGAGGAAAGCAGUACUAUCUAAUCAAAAUACUAAAGCGCGUCUAAAUUGUGUAAGGAACAUAAAAAUGCGUCCGGGGAGAAUAUAAAUAAAAAAUAUAUAAAAGUUAUUUGUUCGGAUGAAAUAAAUAAGAAACUAAAAAAAAAUGUUUGCAAUCAUGAAAACCUUCAACGCCGUCAUGUGCGAUGACAAUUGUCAGCACAAAGUCUUGGCUUUAAUCCGAUUGAGGUUUUAUGGGCUAUUGUAAAGAGGAGAUUGUGCAAUUACCGAACAGCACCAAGCAAUAUGGAGAAGUUAUGGAGCAGAUUACAAGUCGAAUGGAGAAACAUACCAAAGUAAUUAAUAGAAAAUAUUAAAUAUUAAAACAUUUAAUUUGAAGCCACAUAUUGAAUGAUUUGCUUUAGUUUUUGUUGUAUUGCUCUUUUGUUUUUGUUAAUUAUUUGUUGAAUUUUUAUUUUAUCACAUAAUAUGUAAUAAACUUAUUCUGAAAAUGUUAUAAUAUUUGAGCUGUCGUAAAAAUAUUUACAGCACUUAAAAUGAAAAAGUGGCAAACAUCUGAACGGUUUUGAUCGCCACUGUAUGUGCUAUUUUGCUAUCUUUCUUAAAGACCAUUUGUACAGAUAUCCUUUAGCUAUUCGUAUAUAAUAUUUGAUAUCUUUAUAGGUGUUGCCAAAUUUCCCCUUGAUGACUGUAUAAUUAAAUUGCAGGUCAGAAGUAAACAAAUGAUAAUACUGAUUAGAUAAAUAAAUAUCGCAAAAGCGGCGAUUAUUUUCAACUUUUUGCAUUUUCUUCUACGUUCAAAGGUCGACAUUUCCGUAUCAACAAUAUCAGACAAAUAGGCAAUAGUUAUUUUGCAAUUUGUAAAAGACAAAGAGGCGUGAAAAUAUUUUAUGUUAUCUACAAUACAAAAUCAAACUAUAAAAAAUUUUGCAUAUGGACUCAAUAUCUGUUAUUAGAUGAAACUGGGAAACGAUUGACAUCAUUUUCGAUAUCUUAAUACAGUUAUCUUAAAUACAGUAUUUUUAUAAUGAUUGAAAUCGAAAUAAUCAUAUUGAAAUCAACCUAACUUAAUGUAAUCACCAUAUACGCCAUUGAAGUGCUAAAUGAAGGCUGCUGCAGUUGCGAGUUGACAGUCCUUGAUCGGAUUUUGAUACUGAUUUAUAUGAUUUAGCUGUUUAUUUGUUAUUUAUAUAUUAAACUUAUUCGAAUAUUCGAAUGCAAAGGCACUCAACUGAUAUCGUAAUCCUGAUCACUUUGCUAUAUAACUAUAUAUCUACCUCGUUUAGUUUUAACUGCUACUAACAACAGUUAGUUGAACGAAAAU